CUAUAACAAGGCAUUUCCAACUAUUACAUACAAAUAGCUGGAUUUAGUUCUUUCUGUUUUUAGUAGUGGUAGCACGUGGGCCCAUAUGCUGAUUUUUGUUACUAAUUCUGUUUCUGCCUAUAAGGGUAGAAGGCCCAUCCUGUCCAGGCUGAGCAGCCCUAGCUUUCUCAGCCUCUCCUUGUCUGUCAGCUUCUCCAGUCUCUCGAUCAUCUUUGUGGCCACUCAGUAGACUCCCUUCAGUAAUUUUGGGAAAGGACUCUCUUGUACCAGAAGCAAGUGCUGGACUCAGCACUGCAGAUACAGUGCUGAGCAGAAAGAAAGGAUCAGUCUCUAAUCUGCAGCCCAGGAUUCCAUUGGCUUUCAUCUAGGGUGGAAGACACUGUGAUUCAAGUCCUUCCUGAUUCAAUGCACAAACCUGAAUUUCCACUCCACUUUUCCCAGAUGGCUACUCUAGCUACUGUAUUGUUCAGACUUUUUGUAUGAAGGCUUCCUAAACUGCUGGGGAGAAGCUGGACUCUUAUCGAGCUACAGAACACUGACCUCAGGUUCAGGCUGAGGCUUUGGCCUCUGUUGGUGCCAGGAGCCGUGCUUUGCAAAGGCAGGAUCCCUCUGAUGAGCUGCUAUGGCAAGG
This 631-nucleotide long non-coding RNA is filed under the name Gallus gallus (chicken). Lineage: Eukaryota; Metazoa; Chordata; Aves; Galliformes; Phasianidae. The record is from RNAcentral.